Cricetulus griseus (Chinese hamster) is the source of this 766-nucleotide non-coding RNA. Lineage: Eukaryota; Metazoa; Chordata; Mammalia; Rodentia; Cricetidae. The record is from RefSeq and is a predicted model, not a curated record.
GAAAGAAUGGCUUCUCACUUUGUCUUUAGAAAGGAACAGGCUGUCAUUAAUGAUAAAAAUAAGGAAGAGAACCCCCUAAUUGGAAAGAAACCAAAACCACCUGUGACCCUGUGCAAGGGGACACCACUGCUGUGCUUGAACAUCAGCUGACCAGACUUUCCCAGGGGUGGGGCAGAGGCAGAGGAGCUAGGAAAGUGUCUUAGAAGUCAGGGGAUGGCCAUAUUGCAAGAAAUGCAAAACUGCAGCAGUUUGCUCACAGGCUGAUGGGAAGCAGCGCCCUGCCUCCAGUUCUGUCACUCAGGAGAUGUGUGACCCCGGCACCAGGAAAUUCCAUACAACCAGGUCACCUGUAAAAGGCCAGGUACCCUGUUUAGGAAACACCACUCGUGAGCUGUUUGAACCAUGCUGUGGGUCCAGCCUCCCCAUGACAUGACUGUUGUCACAAGCUCAAGGGUGCAGCCCAGAGGAUCCAACCUGUAGUGAUCUGAAGAUGGCUGAGACUAUGAUGUCUCCAAGCAAGCAGAUGAGCAGCAGACAGAAAUCAGUGCUAUCCUUGAACAUUGGAAAAUGCAUGGGUCAUGGUCUCCAGGACAUCUCCAUUAAACUCACCAGCCUGAUUGACAGAGAGAGCUGGCACAGCCUAACAGGGGUUUCUAACUGAAAAGGCAAAGCAGGAAGAACAUUCUAUUCCUACCCUCCUCCACCCAGGACUUCCCUAAAGACUUAGUCAGCUCACCAGGUGGGGCUAGAAGUGGGCUAAAGGCUG